This 213-nucleotide ribosomal RNA is filed under the name Escherichia coli. RNAcentral's name for it is "partial 16S ribosomal RNA". It matches the Rfam family "Bacterial small subunit ribosomal RNA", at positions 1332 to 1533 of the family's 1533-position model. Lineage: Bacteria; Pseudomonadati; Pseudomonadota; Gammaproteobacteria; Enterobacterales; Enterobacteriaceae. The record is from RNAcentral.
UCGCUAGUAAUCGUGGAUCAGAAUGCACGGUGAAUACGUUCCCGGGCCUUGUACACACCGCCCGUCACACCAUGGGAGUGGGUUGCAAAAGAAGUAGGUAGCUUAACCUUCGGGAGGGCGCUUACCACUUUGUGAUUCAUGACUGGGGUGAAGUCGUAACAAGGUAACCGUAGGGGAACCUGCGGUUGGAUCACCUCCUUACCUUAAAGAAGC